Molecule: long non-coding RNA, 219 nt
Filed under: Paramuricea clavata
Lineage: Eukaryota; Metazoa; Cnidaria; Anthozoa; Malacalcyonacea; Plexauridae
Source: RNAcentral
CGCGCGCUACUCUGGUUUAAAUAAAUGAUUACAAAGCCCAGCCGAAUUGUAAUCAAGACCCAACGCUUCGACACUCCAGUCUAGUGUCUUCAUCAGGGGUGAUCUAAAACUGCGAUCGUGGCUUCUUAAAUACCCAAGGGAUGACGUCACCUGCCAAGAAGAUGCAUAUAUUCCUCUGGCAAAUAGGCGCCGUCAUCCCUAUUCAAAGCAUGAUAACUC